This 255-nucleotide ribosomal RNA is filed under the name Dirofilaria immitis (dog heartworm nematode). RNAcentral's name for it is "partial small subunit ribosomal RNA". The record is from RNAcentral. Lineage: Eukaryota; Metazoa; Nematoda; Chromadorea; Rhabditida; Onchocercidae.
UCGGGAGUAAAGUUUUGUUUAAACCGAAAAAAUAUUGACUGACUUUAGAUUUUUCUUUGGAAUAUGUGUUUUUUUGGAGAGCCCUCUUUUAUAGUGAAUUUUGUUGGCGCAUGUAUGAUUGUUUAGUUUUUACUUUUUUGGUAAUGCUUUGUGUUUUAUACAUUUAAAACAGAUAUAUAUUUGGCUUAUGGAUUUAUUUUUCAUGUGUUACUAUUGUUAAUUUUCUUUGGAUUAAUUUUUAAUUUUUUUGUUGAG